AGAGUUUGAUCCUGGCUCAGAGUGAACGCUGGCGGCAGGCCUAACACAUACAAGUCGAACGGCAGCACAGCAGUAGCAAUACUGUGGGUGGCGAGUGGCGGACGGGUGAGGAAUGCGUCGGAAUCUGCCUUUUUGUGGGGGAUAACGUAGGGAAACUUACGCUAAUACCGCAUACGACCUACGGGUGAAAGUGGGGGACCUUCGGGCCUCACGCAGAAAGAUGAGCCGACGCCGGAUUAGCUAGUUGGCGGGGUAAAGGCCCACCAAGGCGACGAUCCGUAGCUGGUCUGAGAGGAUGAUCAGCCACACUGGGACUGAGACACGGCCCAGACUCCUACGGGAGGCAGCAGUGGGGAAUAUUGGACAAUGGGCGCAAGCCUGAUCCAGCCAUGCCGCGUGUGUGAAGAAGGCCUUCGGGUUGUAAAGCACUUUUGUCCGAAAAGAAAAGCUUCGGGUUAAUAACCUGGAGUCAUGACGGUACCGA
Molecule: ribosomal RNA, 484 nt
Filed under: uncultured bacterium
Lineage: Bacteria
Description: bacterial SSU rRNA
Rfam family: Bacterial small subunit ribosomal RNA
Source: RNAcentral